Molecule: ribosomal RNA, 275 nt
Filed under: uncultured bacterium
Lineage: Bacteria
Description: partial 16S ribosomal RNA
Rfam family: Bacterial small subunit ribosomal RNA
Source: RNAcentral
ACUCCUACGGGAGGCAGCAGUGGGGAAUAUUGCACAAUGGGGGAAACCCUGAUGCAGCCAUGCCGCGUGUGUGAAGAAGGCCUUCGGGUUGUAAAGCACUUUCAGUAGGGAGGAAGGUAUGUAGUUACAUACCUGCAUUAUUGAUCGUUACCUACAGAAGAAGCAACCGGCUAACUCCGGUGCCAGCAGCCGCGGUAAUACGGAGGGUGCGAGCGUUAAUCGGAAUUACUGGGCGUAAAGCGCAUGCAGGCGGCCUGUUAAGUCAGAUGUGAAAG